Long non-coding RNA from Onychomys torridus (southern grasshopper mouse), 412 nucleotides. RefSeq lists it as uncharacterized. The transcript is spliced from 3 exons. The record is from RefSeq and is a predicted model, not a curated record. Lineage: Eukaryota; Metazoa; Chordata; Mammalia; Rodentia; Cricetidae.
GGAAACAAGAUCAGCUGAGGAUUGGCAAGCAGGAGACACCUGCCUCAGUAAGCCUCAACUGUGAUCCCGGGGUGUCCUGAUCAUCCUGGCUGCCUGUGGUGUCCAGGGUUAGCUCUUCCCAGCAGUGGGGACAGCCGUGCUGCUCUUGUGACGCCUGAUCUCUGCAGUGUCCCCACCCAUGUGACCAGAACUCACUAUGCACGUGGAUUUUAUGCCCUGCAUUGAGGACAGCUGCUUAGUCUCAGCGCCGACAUCCUGUGAAGAAAAGAAAGCCAAGUGUCCAUCCUCCUGAGAACCAAGACAGUCCCAGGGUAUGCCCACCGGUUUUCAGGAGCCAAGCAACAAUGCACAUGCGUGAAGGAGCAGGAAAGAGAAAGGGGAAGAAUGUACGUGCUAAAUAAAGCUCAUCACA